RNAcentral lists this transfer RNA (63 nucleotides) under Pelagomonas calceolata. Lineage: Eukaryota; Pelagophyceae; Pelagomonadales; Pelagomonadaceae. The record is from RNAcentral.
AAUUGCGUUAUCAUUAUGGUUUAAGCGAAAAGCAACUUUUAAGUUAUGUAAAAGAAGCACGAC